GGAGGAAUGGCCGAGUGGUUUAAGGCGCACGCCUGGAAAGCGUGUUGGGGUUCACGCCCCUCGGGGGUUCGAAUCCCCCUUCCUCCGCCA
RNAcentral lists this transfer RNA (90 nucleotides) under Alphaproteobacteria bacterium. RNAcentral's name for it is "tRNA-Ser". It matches the Rfam family "tRNA". From Rfam's summary of the family: Transfer RNA (tRNA) molecules are approximately 80 nucleotides in length. Their secondary structure includes four short double-helical elements and three loops (D, anti-codon, and T loops). RNAcentral also lists the same sequence under 2 other names. Lineage: Bacteria; Pseudomonadati; Pseudomonadota; Alphaproteobacteria. The record is from RNAcentral.